CGAAGUCACUAGUAUAUAUAUAUAUAUAUAUAUAUAUAAAUCACAAGUAUAAUACUAAGCGAACUUUUUCCUGACGUUGAUGGCAUAAGACUUGUACCUUAGCUUCGCGUGAACCAGUUGAAUCCGCUAGGCCGCUAAAUUUAGCCGCCAAAAUGUGCAAACAUAAUUUUUUGGCACCUUUUCAAAUACUUGUAGAGUCAUGUCAUGCGUUUCCCGAUGUAGAAUAGCGCUUCGAAGGCCGCAUCCUUACUUACAAUGAGGAUGAACACACAUACGUUAUGUUAAUCCAGCUUGAAACUCUACGGAGGUGUAGAUCAACAGCAACUGUAACGUUCAAACACUGAACGGCAGCUCGUAUCGAGACGAAGUGAUCAACCCCCACCCUUACGUGAAGUGUUGAACAGCUCUACGAUACGAUCCGACAUGAAUACACAAACAGACGCAUUCGCUUAAUAGUCACCGGGUCACGACCGGUGAAAGGAUUCUGAUGCUUUAACAAGGCGUUUGGUCGGCACGGGAUCAAAACACCUUCUCUGAGGCGGUUCAGCGGCGAAAGGGAGACCUCACGUGACCCAUCUGUCGUUCGUGGCGUCACUGAACGACCAUGAGCGGAUGCACGACCUAUUCUAUCUGCCCUUCUUGGGGGAAGGGGGUGCCAACAAAUUGCAGCUUCCAUGGCGUACUAUAGAUAAUACGCAGCUUGCUACGUUGCUGUAAAUUAGCAAAUUUGAUAGCGAAGAGGCGCACUCCACAUGUCUAAUAGUUUUGAGAGCUCAAUUUAGCAUACGGUACGCGAGCCCUUUAUGCUGUGUGAGAAGAUUAUAAGUUUGCAGCACUCGACAGAGUCUUGGUCGUCUGUUCAAUAUAUAUAGCGUCUGAGUUAACUUCGAAAUGGCGAUUGCUGAUAAAGGCCCUCGAGUAACAAUCGAGAAGAGCGCCCAUGAAACAGGAAUAAUGACAGGGAACAUGAAUACUCUGGCAGUGUUGAGAUCAGUUGGACACGUAAGAUCAGCGGGGCGGCGACACAAAAAGACUGAUAUAGAAGAAAACUAUGCAGUAAAUCCGGUCUUCACUUCGACGAGUCAUCUGUAACUUUUUGAAGGGCGACUCCGAAGGAAAUCAACGUCUGUUCAGUGUUCGCUCAAACGCUGAUGUCAACAGCCGGGCGACCACAUGAGUGGAAUCGAUUGCAAAUUAAAUGCAACCGAUGGUGUUUCUGCCUUUCUGAAAUCGUCAGUAAAAAUUAAAUCAGCACGAACGCGUAAUCGUGUAAUGGCAGUAUGUUUAUUGGGCACUUUCGGUCGAAAAAAUCUAACUUGCCGUUCUUUGUUUUUCUGAAAGACUAGCAUAUAUGUAUGUAAGUAGGGAGCAGGGUGCGGGAGGAAACUUCACGUUUUCCACGUGCACUUUUCGUUAGAUAUUACCUCUUCGGUUACUCUGUUAUCGUACCAACAUGAAGGAAAGAUCACACUGCGUGAAACAAAGAAUUGUUUUCAACAAGGAUUUACCACGUGUAUGGCCAGUCGACUUGCCACGAGCCAAAAUCUUCACAUGACUUCUGGCGUAUUGUUGCUCUUCAACUGCGUCGUCCUUUUGCAGAAAUGACUGUAUAAAGGACAAUCAUUGAAAGAGAAAUGGAAAUUGUAUCAAGUUUAAUGAAGAAUUAGCGUUCCACUUACAAGUUGAGAGGUCAAUUAAAAAAGAG
Varroa destructor (honeybee mite) is the source of this 1705-nucleotide long non-coding RNA. RefSeq lists it as uncharacterized. The record is from RefSeq and is a predicted model, not a curated record. Lineage: Eukaryota; Metazoa; Arthropoda; Arachnida; Mesostigmata; Varroidae.